Molecule: ribosomal RNA, 492 nt
Filed under: uncultured bacterium
Lineage: Bacteria
Description: partial 16S ribosomal RNA
Rfam family: Bacterial small subunit ribosomal RNA
Source: RNAcentral
AGUGAACGCUGGCGGUAGACCUAACACAUGCAAGUCGAACGGCAGCACAGUAAGAGCUUGCUCUUACGGGUGGCGAGUGGCGGACGGGUGAGGAAUACAUCGGAAUCUACUUUUUCGUGGGGGAUAACGUAGGGAAACUUACGCUAAUACCGCAUACGACCUACGGGUGAAAGCAGGGGAUCUUCGGACCUUUCGCGAUUGAAUGAGCCGAUGUCGGAUUAGCUAGUUGGCGGGGUAAAGGCCCACCAAGGCGACGAUCCGUAGCUGGUCUGAGAGGAUGAUCAGCCACACUGGAACUGAGACACGGACCAGACUCCUACGGGAGGAAGCAGUGGGGAAUAUUGGACAAUGGGGGAAAGCCUGAUCCAGCAAUACCGCGUGGGUGAAGAAGGCCUUCGGGUUGUAAAGACCUUUUGUUGGGAAAGAAAAGCAGCAGGUUAAUACCCCGCUGUUCUGACGGUACCAAAAGAAUAAGCACCGGCUAACUUCGUG